GACGAACGCUGGCGGCGUGCCUAAUACAUGCAAGUUGAGCGCUGAAGGUUGGUACUUGUACCAACUGGAUGAGCAGCGAACGGGUGAGUAACGCGUGGGGAAUCUGCCUUUGAGCGGGGGACAACAUUUGGAAACGAAUGCUAAUACCGCAUAAAAACUUUAAACACAAGUUUUAAGUUUGAAAGAUGCAAUUGCAUCACUCAAAGAUGAUCCCGCGUUGUAUUAGCUAGUUGGUGAGGUAAAGGCUCACCAAGGCGAUGAUACAUAGCCGACCUGAGAGGGGGAUCGGCCACAUUGGGACUGAGACACGGCCCAAACCCCUACGGGAGGCAGCAGUAGGGAAUCUUCGGCAAUGGACGAAAGUCUGACCGAGCAACGCCGCGGGAGUGAAGAAGGGUGUCGGAUCGUAAAACUCGGUUGGUAGAGAAGAACGUUGGUGAGAGUGGAAAGCUCAUCAAGUGACGGUAACUACCCAGAAAGGGACGGCUAACUACGUG
Molecule: ribosomal RNA, 497 nt
Filed under: uncultured bacterium
Lineage: Bacteria
Description: partial 16S ribosomal RNA
Rfam family: Bacterial small subunit ribosomal RNA
Source: RNAcentral